GGUAUUGUGGCUCAGUGGUAGAGUGCUUUCCUGGCAUGUGUGAGGUGUUGAGUUUGAUUCUCAGCACCA
This 69-nucleotide transfer RNA is filed under the name Marmota monax (woodchuck). RNAcentral describes it as "tRNA.Ala". Lineage: Eukaryota; Metazoa; Chordata; Mammalia; Rodentia; Sciuridae. The record is from RNAcentral.